Molecule: long non-coding RNA, 1396 nt
Filed under: Cyanistes caeruleus (blue tit)
Lineage: Eukaryota; Metazoa; Chordata; Aves; Passeriformes; Paridae
Description: lncRNA (ENSCCEG00000015599.1)
Source: RNAcentral
AAGUAAGAGAAAUAUUAAAAGACCAGUGUUAUUAGAUUCAUGGAGUGGCCACCUGGCUAACCUGGCUUUCUUUAUACUUAGCUUUAUGCAGUAUUUAAUAGCUUUGACAUUUGGGAGUGCUCUCUGUGAGUCCCUUGUUCUGUGCUGAGGAGUGUGGGGGGCCACAUUACCAACACUGAGUUUUACACCUUUUUUUUCCCUCUGACAGCUCUGCAUCAGAGGAUUAGAAACAAUUUACCUUUUGUCUUGCCAUUUGUUAAAGGAAUACCCUCCUACAACUUCACCUGAUCCUUUGCCCACAGCUGUGUCAGGUGCAAAUGGCUCCAGAUGUUGUCUGCACUGGAAGGCGCUUUGAUGUUCCUGGAUCUAUUUUUGGGAAGCAAGGCCUCAUGCUGACAGGUCCCCAGCUUGGUCCCCAGCUGAGUCCAGGCUUGUUUGUUUCUUAUGAUCAAAGCACAGACCCCUUCAGUAAGUGUAAUGUGGUGAUGAGAGAACAUUUACCCCUGCACAGCUAUACUGCACUCCCAGCCAAUAUCAGAUGUUGGCUGGGGUUGGUGUCAAGGACCCCGCAAAAUUUGAAGAUGAAGGGGGUUUGGGGCUUUGCUAAAUUAUAUACAUUUCUUCCUGGCUUUCAAUCAUAAAUUAGUAGAAUAUGGAACCUGUAUAGUUAAGAAUUUAUAAGAAAGCAUCCAGCACACACAGUGUCCCUGUAAAAGCACUAACAGAGUAGCCUUGCAGAAAUCACUGGAAGGCCUUCAGGACAAUGAGUGGUCAAAGACAGCAGAUAAACAGCAAUCAGAAAAUGGCAAAUAAUCCAGUGAUCUUGGCAAGCAAGUGCAUCUCAGAACAUGCAUAUAGGACAGAUGGCAAUAUGCCUUUCCAUGAUGUCUGGCUUAGAUCCUUUGCAUGAUGGAAAGCUGAAAGAAGUACGGGCAUUUAGCAUCGCGGGUUGCCUUUUCAAAUCUCUGCUUUUGUUAAAAUACAGCAGGAGGGUAAGCAGUAACAAGUCACUUCAUUCAUAGCUUGUUGAUCACACAGUGAAAAUAUUUGAUGAUAGAUGUGUGAGUGGAACUGGGGGCAAAGAAGAAUUGCCUAGAGAAAUGCUGCAAAAGCAAAUAUUCAACUUCCAUACGUGUUCUCUUUUGCAUUUCUGUCUCACACACAUUUAAAUAGUUUGAAACUUGUCUAGUCAGACCUUUCUUUACUUUAAUUCUGUGAAUUCUGGAAGAUGCUCACUGGGUCAUAAAAAUUAUGAGGGGGAAAAAUGCCCAGGUGAAGAUUUCUUAAAGUUUGCUUAGAGAAUGAAGAAAAGAGGGACAUGAGAGUUGUAGAAAGCAUUUGUUGCUGUUGGCUUUUUCAGAUUUCAGAGAAUACAGGUUUAGGCUGCAUUUCAAGU